AUGAUGAGCUGGAGAAGUGACCUCUCUACCUACAACGUUUCUUCUCAUCACACGAGUACUGUUUUCGGCUCGGAUUCGAUGCACAGGGUAACCAUCCUGCCACCACCAGGGAGCUCUUGGUUGCACUGCAAUCAGCGAGGCCUUGUCAACUCGCUGAUGCCACUUAACCUCUAUGGCCUCUCAUUGCUCAAGAUGGAUAGUUUUGUGCAGUUAAGAGUUGAUGUUCCAUGCUAUUCUUUGUUCCUUGUGCUGCCAGUAGAGACGUGGUUUGUGUGCAAGUCGAUGCAAACCUGCUGUUGUGAUGGUUGGGGAGCCGAGAACAAACCUUACUUCAGCAGGGUGUUUGAAGUGGCACUAGACGUUGAUGCUCACGCCGUUGUCAGAAAUGCACUGAGCUACUCAACCUGUGAGUAUUACUUUGCUCCUCCACUGAUGAUUGGUACCAUCUUUCUACAGAUUGGUACCAUCUUUCUGUGGACUGGCACGUAUAAGAGAAGGUCACUCACUGUCAGGACCGACAAAGUGCAUACUGAAGAUGACGAGGGGAUGGGCUAG
This 555-nucleotide ribosomal RNA is filed under the name Triticum aestivum (bread wheat). RNAcentral's name for it is "partial small subunit ribosomal RNA". The record is from RNAcentral. Lineage: Eukaryota; Viridiplantae; Streptophyta; Magnoliopsida; Poales; Poaceae.